UGGGGCCCACGGGCGCCGCGCUCUCGGCACACGCGCGCGGGGCCGGCUCUCCGCUCAGUAGAACGCCCGGGGCGCUUCCUGCAGAGGCGGACAGCGGCUCCGGCGCCGCGACCAGAAAACCCAGGCACAGCCCGGAAGUCCCCAGGCCACCCGCUCCUCAGUACCCUUCGGGGAAAUCCCGUGCCCCUCUGCAGGAGGCGAGAAGAAAACAAACAAAAACCCCGUAAAACUGAAACCGGGCCGGGCUGCGGGAUGGGUGGCAGCGGCGAGAGCCCGGCGCCCACGGACACACGCCCCGUCUCGCGCUCCGCUGCUCCAGUGAGUCGGUCGAACCAUAGAGACCACUUAAGGAGGCUCGCGCGCUACUCCCCACCACGUGACCGCCCCGCUAGGCCGCACCCCCCCGCGCCGCCAUCUUACAUCCGGGACAGAAGCGGCGUCCCUUUCCCCGCCUUGGCAAAAUUCGACGUGUCACUAGAAAUCAGCCCCCAAAGGGGGAACCCGGAUUCCACGUCACCAAAGUGCUGAGGGCGCGGGCUGCGCUCCCCACGCCGCUUAACGGGGCAAAGUGGAGCCGCUAACUUCUCCCGGUGUUUGUCCGCAAAGAAAAUGGCGGCACUUACCGCCGUCUAAGUGGACACGUUGUACUCUGGCUGAGGUUUAAAGUUUCUGGCACCUCCUUUCGCAUCUAGCAAGGACACCGCAACAUGCGCUCCACCCCGCGGCGUGGCCGCUGCGCCACAUUCCGCAGAAAACCGGCGGGAAAGCUGCUGCACUGCCCGCUUUAAUGCGCAGGCUCCUGAGACUUGUGGGUGGGUUUUUUUUUUUUUUAAAGGCCAAGUUUGGGAAAAGGCCGACUACCCUGAGUUCCAUCUGCUUUGGGGCCAGGCGAGUUUCUUUUUGCCUCCCAUUUUGAGACUUCUGUGAAGUUAAGUCGGUGUGAAGAAAAAGCAGGCAGGGGCUGCCAAUUAAGAUUCACAGAACGUCUAAUUCGAGUUUCGGAUAAACGAAUUAGUUUUUAGUAUAUGUAUGUCCCCUAUACUAAAAGUGUUUGAACUUGGAAUAUAGCUAGUGUCCUGCACUUUUACGUAAAUCUGGCAGUACUGUUAGUCAUCACCCUCCUGAAAAUCCAGACCACAUAAGAAAAAUAAGAAAUGGGGGAACUGAGUGUGUUCAGACUUGAGGCUGCUUCUGCGCAGGCUUUGAUCCCUUCAUGAGAGGCAGAGGGCUAAGGUCCAGACUCCAAACCACACACAAGGGACAUCCAUGCAUAACUGCUUUUGGGAACAAUAAGUAUUCUUUACCUUUAAAGCAGCACAAUGUAACUUUGAUAACCUCUCAGCCAGAGAAUCUCUUUGCAAGUAAAAGAUUACAUAAUACUGGCUUUUCAUUUCUGUUCUAUUUAGUAUUGGUGAUGGGACACAGUUUCCUUUAAAAAAUUUUUUUUGACUAUGCUGCGUCUUUUAUUGCUGCGCGGGCUUUUCCCUAGUUGCAGGGGCCAGGGGUUACUCUCUAGUUGCCAUGCCUGGCCUCAUUGUGGCUUCUCUUGUAGCAGAGUCCAGGCUCUAGGGCAUACGGGCUUCAGUAAUCCCCGCAGGUGGUCUCAAUGGUUGGUGCUGCCCGCCUGUAGAGCGCAGAGUGGUUGUCACCUCGGGGCUUGCUUGUUCCCCUAGCAUGUGGGAUCUUCCCAGAUCAGGGAUCCAACUCCUGUUUCCUGCAUUGACAAGCAGAUUUUUUUUUUUUAAAUACUACUGAGCCACCAAAGAAGCCUGGAACACAAUUUAUUGAACAAAGUUUCAAAUUAAAAAGCAACCUGCCUGACAUGUUUCAAAAUAAAAUUUGUAAUAUGCAAAUUAAGACAUACACUUGGUUUGGUGUGUGUGUUUUUUUUUUGCCCCAGGUGGCACUUGUGAUAUCUUCUUAUUUCCCUGACUAGGAAUCAAACCCCAGGCCCUUGACAGUGAAAGCAGGGAGUCCUAACUAAGGAAUUCCCUAAAAUAUACUUGGGUAUGCCCACUAACUGCCCAAUCCAGUGUCAUGCCUCCUGUAUGCAUUUUAAAGCAAACGCUUAAGUUUGCCUUGAUGUGCAAUCAGAACUACUUCCAAUUAACAAUAUUUGUGUAUUUUUUGUAUAUAUGGAACAUACUUGCAAUUAGGUGCCUAACCUGACCCAAAUAUAAAUUUGACUGGGCGUCUCAGUGAUGCUUACCAUAGUCUAUGUGCUUAGUCGCUUCAGUCAUGUUCAACUCUUUGCAACCCCAUAGACUGUAGUCCUCCAGGCUCCUCUGUCCAUGGGAUUCUCCAGGCAAGGAUACUUGAGUGGGUUGCCAUUUCCUUCUCCAAGGGAUCUUUCUGACCCAGGAAUCGAACCCAGGUCUCUUCUGUCUCCUACGCUGGCAAGUGCAGGCAACACUCUACCACUAGCACCAUCUGGAAAUCAGCUCACUAAUACUUUCAUUAUAAUUCACACCACCUUGUUCCCAUAAGCAAUGCUUGGGCUGGCAUCCCCCACUGCUGAUUCAUUGCACAGUGGACCACAUUAUCCUCCACCACAGUUCACUUCAGUUCAGUUCAGUUGCUCAGUCGUGCCC
This 2591-nucleotide long non-coding RNA is filed under the name Capra hircus (goat). RNAcentral describes it as "lncRNA (ENSCHIG00010016606.1)". Lineage: Eukaryota; Metazoa; Chordata; Mammalia; Artiodactyla; Bovidae. The record is from RNAcentral.